GCUUCUGUUAAUAUUCCAUGUACAGGUUUUUAUGUGACCUAAGUUUUCAUUUCUCUGGGAUGAAUACCCAAUAGUGUAA
This is a long non-coding RNA of Phyllostomus discolor (pale spear-nosed bat), 79 nucleotides long. RefSeq lists it as uncharacterized. NCBI's taxonomy places the organism in Eukaryota, Metazoa, Chordata, Mammalia, Chiroptera, Phyllostomidae. The record is from RefSeq and is a predicted model, not a curated record. The transcript has 3 exons.